GAGCCAAAGAGACCGCCGUGCGAAAUGAAGACACGCACAUUAGGAUGUGCCAAGAUAUCACUUUGCGGCAGCCAUUUCUUCACCAUAACAUUCGAAGGUAAAUCCGGAAGGCUAUCGUUUUCAAAUUUCCACAGCACACGCUGAUUCAGCUGAGCGAAUACGUUGAGGAACAAGCGUAACUUCUCCACAGGCAUAUCUUUACUCUGCACUUGACUGCCCAAACUGAAGUAGAUGGCGCCAUGUUCGGCCUCAUCCAGGAACUGCUUUAUAUCGCUGGGCAACGCUUUUGGCGGAUAGAUAUGCAUGCCACCGACAUUGAUCAUGUUGUCCGUCGUGGGUCCAGCUGCCGCCAAUGGCGUAUAGUUGUUGAUCAAUAUGGCUGAAAGAUUUCUAUUCAUUUCGGAGGUGCUGGGGAAUUUGACUGCAAAGUAAAAAGAGUGU
Molecule: long non-coding RNA, 441 nt
Organism: Bactrocera dorsalis (oriental fruit fly)
Lineage: Eukaryota; Metazoa; Arthropoda; Insecta; Diptera; Tephritidae
Exons: 3
Source: RefSeq, a predicted model, not a curated record